This 206-nucleotide microRNA precursor is filed under the name Oryza glumipatula. RNAcentral describes it as "MIR812 microRNA precursor family". It matches the Rfam family "MIR812 microRNA precursor family". The record is from Rfam by way of RNAcentral. Lineage: Eukaryota; Viridiplantae; Streptophyta; Magnoliopsida; Poales; Poaceae.
AACAAGUGCAGCCAUAAUUUUUCGUACCUAACUUUAACCGUACGUCUUAUUUAAAAAUAUUUUUAAAAAAAUUAAAAACAUAAGUCACGAGUAAAGUAUUAUUCAUGUUUUAUCAUCUCAUAACAAUAAAAAUGCUAAUUAUAAUUUUUUUUAAAAAAAGACGGACGAUCAAAAAUUAAACGUGAAAACUGAUGGUUGUACUUAUU